GCCUAUUUAGAAUAUUGAACAUAUUAUCAUGCACUUUAAUGGGAGGCUAUGAUCUAGUUAUCCUCAUAACUAGCUCAUUUUAUCGACCUAAUAAUUUAGAAGAUUUAGUUAAUAUAUUUUAUAAGACAUCAAUCGACCUGCAAGUUAUACAUUCUCUCAAUAACUUCAUCAAGUCAUGUAAAGGGACUAGAGAUUAGUUGGUCCAAUCAGUAAGUCAUAAAUCCUCCUACUGACUUCACCAAAUCAUAAAAAGAAAUUAGAGACAAGUCGGUCC
This 274-nucleotide long non-coding RNA is filed under the name Elaeis guineensis (African oil palm). RNAcentral's name for it is "long non-coding RNA (EGUI_LNC039517)". The record is from RNAcentral. Lineage: Eukaryota; Viridiplantae; Streptophyta; Magnoliopsida; Arecales; Arecaceae.